Molecule: non-coding RNA, 1770 nt
Organism: Arachis ipaensis
Lineage: Eukaryota; Viridiplantae; Streptophyta; Magnoliopsida; Fabales; Fabaceae
Source: RefSeq, a predicted model, not a curated record
AGAAAGCUAAACCCCGCAAGGAAGAAGAAGGGAAGGAGAGGGAGAAGAGCGCGCCGGCGUCGCGCCUCACCGCCGUAGAGCCCAUCACACGCAUCGCCGCCGUCAUGUCACCGUCAAUCUGAACCGUGCGAGGGAGAGAGCUGCCGCUGCGGGAAACGCGAUGGUGGAGAGGACGCCACCAGAUCUGUGGCGCCUGUUCCCUGUCGAGCUCUCCGUCGAAGACGCCACCGCCGUCACUGUCGAACCCUAGCCGUCACAGUCGCCAUCGACGCUGUGGCAGAGAAAGAGGAAGGAUGCGCGAACAGAAGAGGGAGAAGGAAGCUGCGAAGCCGUCACCGUUUCUGCUCGGGGUUGUCGCUGCUGCUGAAGAAGACGCGUCCGAGAGAGAGAGAACCGGGGGAGUGACGCGCGAAGGAUGUUCUGACGGAGAAGGAGGAGAACGAGGUUGUCUCAUCGCCAAUGAUUAGAAGUUGCUACUGUUGAUGGGAUGAACAGAACGUGAAGAGGGAGGAGAAACUCGUAGAGGAGAGGGAGGUUUUGCCGCCGCACCGCUGGUCGCCGGGGAACACCGCCAUUGACGCCGGAGAAUGCCACUAUUGGAGCCACUGUCCGUGCUCGGCCCCUGUUUCCGUUGCUGUUUAUGCUGGUUCAGCCAUUGCCGCCACAACCCGUCUCAAAUUUCUUCUAAUUUCGACACUCAGAGGGUGCUGCUACUCUAAAUGAUUGGAAGAUGGUCAUUGCUGUUUGAAAAGAGCAAUGCAUCACAAUUGCCUUGUUUGCUUUGAGGUAUAAACUAUAAAGACUAUUCUUCUAUUAUGGUAAAAUCUUUUGGGAAGAACCACAUGAUUUCAUUUUCUUUGGUUUAUGAAUUGGUUUUGCUUAUUAUGAAUUUUAUUGAUUGUUGAUUGUUACUAUGAUGAUGUUGGCUUGUUCUGCCAUUAGUUACUUUGUUGAUUGAAUUUUUUUCUUUAAUGAGAUUUUGUUCUGAGCAAUGUUAGGAGAAAAUAGUUCUGCUUUGUCAUCAGUUCCUUCUCUGUCAUCUGCUGCUGUUCCGUGCUCUCCUCUCCGCUUGCGUCCACUACGUCGUCCCCCACCUCGUCCGCUGAGGUUCGGUUACGCAUGUAAAGUGGCUGGGAAUUCUAAGUUGAUUCUCUCAAUGGCCUGAAUGACUCAAGUAAAAUUGCUGCAUUUGAUUUUGAUGACCUGAAUGACUCAAGUAAAAAUCUUAGAAUUCUGGAGAAGAUUGCCCAAAUAUUCAAAGAGGAUUUGAAGUUUGGUGGAGAAGAGCUUUCUGGAAGCGGAAUGGAGAGUAAGAAUAGACAAGACAAUUACGAAUUACAGCUACAAUAGUUGAUAAUCCUUGAAGAUAGACAGUCCCAGCAUGGUGGAAUUGACAGCAUUUUACUGGUUACAUGGAAGAAAUAAGAGUUUAUGUGCUAUCAAUUUAAUUUAGUGGAUAAGAUUUCAUGUUUAACUGGCUACCGCAAGGUGGGGCUGGUGGUUUAAGUUUUUUGCUGUGUGAGAGACUAUACUAAGCAAAGCAACUGCUGAUGUUGACAAAGGGGUCCAUGAUGAGACUGGUUUCUUUUAGGUGGUUCUGUUUUUUGAAAAUAUGGGCUUGGAUAAAGAAACUAUUGGGAGAAUUAUUUUUCGCUGCCAGCAUUGAUAAAACUCUUUAGAGGAAGAUUGAAUUCCUUUCUAGGGUUGGCGUUUUUUAAGCUUAUUUUCCUGGGAUAAUUAGAAAAUAUCCGGAAUUACUUGUAACCAACA